AGUGAACGCUGGCGGUAGGCCUAACACAUGCAAGUCGAACGGCAGCACAGUAGGAGCUUGCUCUUACGGGUGGCGAGUGGCGGACGGGUGAGGAAUACAUCGGAAUCUACUUUUUCGUGGGGGAUAACGUAGGGAAACUUACGCUAAUACCGCAUACGACCUACGGGUGAAAGCAGGGGAUCUUCGGACCUUGCGCGAUUGAAUGAGCCGAUGUCGGAUUAGCUAGUUGGCGAGGUAAAGGCCCACCAAGGCGACGAUCCGUAGCUGGUCUGAGAGGAUGAUCAGCCACACUGGAACUGAGACACGGUCCAGACUCCUACGGGAGGCAGCAGUGGGGAAUAUUGGACAAUGGGCGCAAGCCUGAUCCAGCCAUACCGCGUGGGUGAAGAAGGCCUUCGGGUUGUAAAGCCCUUUUGUUGGGAAAGAAAAGCAGCAGGUUAAUACCCCGCUGUUCUGACGGUACCCAAAGAAUAAGCACCGGCUAACUUCGUG
This 492-nucleotide ribosomal RNA is filed under the name uncultured bacterium. Its description in RNAcentral is "partial 16S ribosomal RNA". It matches the Rfam family "Bacterial small subunit ribosomal RNA", at positions 29 to 507 of the family's 1533-position model. The record is from RNAcentral.